Molecule: long non-coding RNA, 944 nt
Organism: Sipha flava (yellow sugarcane aphid)
Lineage: Eukaryota; Metazoa; Arthropoda; Insecta; Hemiptera; Aphididae
Exons: 3
Source: RefSeq, a predicted model, not a curated record
ACAUUUUUUUAAUAGUCCAAAGAUUUUGUUUUAUAAUUUUUUGUAAAAAAUAAUGUACAUAAUCAGUGCCGUAACUGAAUUACUUGAAGCUCGUGUGUAAAUCAAAUGCUGAGCCCCCUAUCAUUCUACAUUUUUAGCAUUAAACCUUAUGAAGCCCCAUGAUAUGGUACGACCGGGGCCUGCGUGCGAUGCAUACUCUGCACACCCGGGUUUUACGACACUGGCUGCCGAGGACUCCCGAUAUGAGUAUCGCGGACCUCUAGAGUUUGAUAUAGGUAUAUAAUGUUACAAUUAUGAAUUGUCAAAAUCAAAAAUGCUGGGAUGUACGGUCUGGAGCCAUCAGUAUUACUCGUUUCGUGAAAAGCAGAUACUCGACAACGUCGGCAAGUAGGUCAGCGUUUUGUUCCAUGCGGAAGUGUUCCAGGCCGUACCGUUCGCACAACGUUCGGCGCAACGCGUCUACGCUGACGCCGCGACCACGCGACCCAACAAUCACGUCGCCGAUGAACAUCACCAGAUCGUCGAACUCUCGCUCGCUAGACAUAGGGUGGUUUCGGGUCGAACGGUGAUCGAUGCGGUUGAAUUCGAUCGCAGUAAAACGCAAGUAUAUCCGUUGGGUUCUAUGAUAUAAUUAUGAUUUGGUGACUACUAACAUUCGAGUGUUCAACGAUGGUUCCAAAAUUGUUUUGAAAUUUGAAUAAUCACGUUUGGUUUUCAUAAAUCAUGACAAUUUCUCAUAACUAGGAUGGAGAUGAUAAUUAAUGGUUGUGAAUUUGUUAUGUUCUUAUUGCUGAUAUAACCAUAGACUUUAUUAGUAUUAGAUCCAUGGAUAUAACAUGUAAUGGUUAGAGGUUAUUAUUAAUUUAAUACGAUAAAAAUAAAUAAAUAAAAUACACGUGUAUUUGUAAAUACCCGUCAUUAUCCAUGUAUCUAAAUACCAGACA